GUUCCGAAUGUAGCAGAAAUACUGACUGGGAAAGGGAAGACCCAAAUUCUAGUUUUCUCAUAGUAAAAUUAGUGAUGGUGGUAGUGGUAUGUCUAUAAGGUCCCCUCCAGAUCUAAGAUUCCCAAAGCUGUGCUGGCCACUGAUGAGCUUCUUUCUCUGAUGUCCAGCUUUGCCAUUUAUCUAUAACAUUGUCUUUAAGCAAUGGUGAACUGUUUUACUGAAUCCCUGUCCUAGCAUUUCUGGGGAAUAUUCCAGUUAAGCGGCAGUGCCAUUUAUCAGGGAAAAGAUGUGGUUUUAUAGGAUUCAGAGGUCCUGAUACCCAGAGGAGUGCUGCUUUCACUGAAAGGAAAUGAUAAGAAUCUCAAUGAGGCGGAAACUAUGACUACCGCCUGCCUCUACUUUGGGUUCCUCAUGCCAGUGACCUAACAAGCAAAGAAAGGAGUUACUAUUGUUUCGGGAGGAAAGAAAAUACGAGCAUAAAGAAGGUACCACUUAUUUUACCAAAACUUCAAAAGACACCAAAUCCAGGUCUCCAGGUCUCGGUAUUUGGAAGACCACCCAAAAACAACAGGAAGCAUGCUUUUUGAGUGAACAAGAGGAAUUUGCCACUGGCUUCAAGGACACUUGGAAUAAGAUGACCAGUAUUUCCUGCGGGAGUUUCAAAUGGCAUCAGGUGCAGUGGCUCCAGGCAACCUGGAAGCAUUCAUCAUCAUUUAUGGUCUACUCUUGAUUCUGUGAGGAGAUGAUUCACUUAGGCUUCCUACAGGCCAGGCCCAAAGAGGUGGCAGGCUACCAUGAGGACAACAAAGCCUAAAAGUCAUCCAGGUGGGACAUUGUGAACUACAGAACCUAUGUAUGAGGUAGAUUGCAAGUAUCUCCGGUCACAUUCACAAGCCAAUAAAAACAAUGCUGUCCUCCAUGAGAACAAAUCUAAUUAGAACAAAUCCCAGUCCUUUACAAAUACUGUAGACUGAAAUGCUUGUUUUAAAGAUAAAGACAUUUGGCCAGGAGCGGUGGCUAAUGCCUGUAAUCCCAGCACUUUGGAAGGCUGAGGCAGGCAGAUUACCUGAGGCCAGGAGUUCGAGACCAGCCUGGCCAACAUGGAGGAACCCUGUCUCUACUAAAAGCACAAAAAUUAGCCAGUCGUGGUGGCACGCGCCUGUAAUCCCAGCUACUCAAGAGGCUGACGCAGGAGAAUAGCUUGAAACCAGGAGGCAGAGGUUGCAGGGAGCUGAGAUCUCGCCAUUGCACUCCAGCCUGGGUGACAGAGUGAGACUCUGCCUCAAAAUAAACAAAUAAAAAUACAAAAAUUAGCCAGGCAUGCUGGCAUGCACCUGUAGUCCCAGCUACUCCAGAAGUUGAGGCAUGAGAAUCGCUUGAACCCGGGAGGCGGAGGUUGGAGUGAGCCGAGAUUACGCCAUUGCACUCCAGCCUGAGCUACAGAGUAAGACUCCAUCUCAAAAAUAAAUAAAUAAAAAUAAAGACAUUUGUUCAGCCCUUCAAACUGUCAAUGAGUAUGUUCUUGGAAAGGUUCCUUGUCAUCAAAUAUAAAUUGCAAUGAUCAAAGGCGAACUACGUAUCAAUAUGUAAUGAAAAAUAAUUUACUAGGAGUCUACAUUGGAGGAGAUGAACUCUACAGCAGAAAUGGUGCACCUCUGGGUUUGCCAAAGCAGAAAAAUUCUUGACAGCCUUUCCAAAAGUACAACCAAGUUCUUGUGCCCCAGAGUGGGGUGAGAUCUUAGAGAAGAGAGGCAUCUAUAGGGAUUAUUUUUGAAGUCUUGUUCACAGGUUUAAGCAGUUACAAUCACAAGUCUCUCUGCUCAACCACGACCAUCUAGGUUUGCCCAUUACUUUAUUUUUUAAUCUGACACAAAAGGAAAGACGCAGAGGUGAGAAAGGGAGGGGUAGAAAGGUGAAUUAUACUCUCUGUAUCCUGUUCUACCACUUGCCACAUUUCUAAAUUACCAAGAUUCCCAGGCACAAGAGUAUGUGUGAAUAUUUUGUUCUGUUUUUUUACUCAGUACUAAUAAUACACAAGAGCUGAAUAGUUACUGAAACUAUUUCCAGUUUCUUGCAUUUGAUAAUAGAUGGAGACCCGAUUCGAACUGACCUAGACACUUAAAUACUAUCCCAGACAGAGCCAUCCCCAAGUAGGUCACAGAGCUUCUCUGUGUCUGUUUCUUUAUUUGCAAAAUCAUACUGUAUCACCUGUCAAAUUCACAGAUUGUUAAGAAUUAAGUAAGUUCAUGGCUAUGAAACACCUUUAAAACUAUGAAGCACUAAAACAAAUUCAGUGGAUAGUGGCAAUUAUGAAGAGGAUGAUGAUGGAAAUGAGAGAGACUACAAAUGAAAAUUCUGUAUAUUUAUGAAAUUAUGGCUUAGUAUUUGUCAUUUGAGAAUUUCAAUGUUUUUGGACAUAUAGGACUGGGAUCAUAAAAAUUCAUGAGCAUAUUGGUGAUCCUCAAAUAAAAUCUGUUUUAAAUACAUAAUGUACACUUUCCAAAAGAAAAUUCGUGAUGUGCAUAUUUAUAUAUUUACUAGCACUAUCAAAAGGUACCAAAGAUGUUAACACUAAGUGCUAAGCAUUUUGCAUACUUCUGGAAGCUGUUCUUCCCUGCUUUGCCCACAUAAGUCACCUCCCUUGAAUGAUACUUGGGAAGGCCUGGUCACAAUCAUCUUUAGACAUUUGAUCUGACUGAGAUAAUGUCCCAUGAAGGUGCUGUGAUUUCGGUCAAAGGUGAAAUAAACAUUUUUCUCAGUAUUAUUGUCCAAGAGAUUUUACUUUUGACACUCUGGGUCUGCCUCAAGUGGCUGCUAGGUGAUAGAGGAUGAAAAAGAGAAGGAAUGAGUAAAACCUGAAGUGAGAACCAGAAGUUUUCCCUAAAAGAAGCUAAGUUUUUUAGGGUGAAGAUAAAGAUUUAAUUUUGCAAUAUUAAUUUCUACUGCCAGUGUAAAACUUUAUCUUUCUAGGUAUCUGUACACGUCUCUGCCCAAAGUACCCUCCUGCUACUAAGGCAAAGGAAAAACAUAUUGAUUUUUCUGCAAAUUCCCAUACCUUUCUUUCAAGUUGACUGCUUGGAAAUCUAUUCAAAUUGGAGACUGUAUCCUGUUUAGGUAGCUGAAGUUGACAGCAGAGCUUUAAUUAAUAAGGCGUGCAAGGACAAAGGCACUAGGCCCAAAUCAGAUACAAGCGACAUCUUCUUGUGGCUGCUCUGAGAAGCACAGCAAUUAUUUAUACUCUACCUUGGUGCUCAGGCAGAAGAAAUAAGGCUAGAGCAUGAAGAGCAAUGCUAUCUGCCAAUAUAUGAGAAUUAUAGCAUUCUGGAUGAACAGAGUUAUAUUAUCCCUGCUUUCAGAUAAGUAAACCAAGAAUCAGAGUGCGUGGAUUACUCUGCAAAUGGAGGUAGAAAGCCUGUGCCCUAUUUUCUUGUCCAUCUUCAAUAUCCUGUGCUGGGAUUUCAACAACACUUGAAAUCCUCUUGCUUUCCUCCUUUUGCCCAUUAUAUUCCUUAUCUACAGUGGGCAUUUUCAGUGCUGCCAACAGUGCCUAUGAAUCUACGUUCUAAAUGUCAGGACCUGCCAAGAUUUGUUAAUUAUCCUAACUCCCUCUGCUGGCGGAUUUAACUACAACCCAGAUUCAAAACUCAAUGGAACACAGUAACUGUUUAAAAUGUUUUUCAAGUUAAUUCACAUCAUAAAAGAGUAGGUCCGAAGAAGGAAGAAAACUACAAGGUGAAUUUUAGUUGAGAACGUAACUCACUAUAAUAUAAAUAAACUGGAGGUUUAAUAGUAUUUUUUAAACCAGCAUCUGGGAUAAGAUUUGUGAAAUAUGAAGUAGAUAAUGUUGGUAUAAUUUUUCCCCAUUCUCUUUUUGUUCCCACACUCCUUUUCAUUUUUGUGGCUUGUGAUAUUUCCCUUUGUCUCUAAGCUCUAGACUUCUACUUAAUAAGUACCAAUAAAGAUUGUAUGUUAUCCUUAAACAGUGGUAGCAUUCCCCACCUGCUAAUUGCUUUAUUUGUACUUACUGUUUCCGCCCUCUCAUCAACAGGGGCUUUAGUAUAAAGGGCAAUGAAGUAGAACGUGAUGAGGCGAACAGGAGCCAGCCGAGUGAAUGCUUCUAUAAUUACACAGUAGCCUGGAGUAGCUCUUCUCAAAUCAAAUUAUGAGCCUGGAUUACCUAAAACUCUCAGGACACAGCCCGGGUUUUCAUUUGUCUGUAGGUUACUGUCGACAAGCAGCCUUCUUUCCCCUUGCCAUUAUUCUUCACAGAGAUUAUCAAAGCUCC
RNAcentral lists this long non-coding RNA (4285 nucleotides) under Homo sapiens (human). Its description in RNAcentral is "HSALNT0065290". The record is from RNAcentral. Lineage: Eukaryota; Metazoa; Chordata; Mammalia; Primates; Hominidae.